ACACUAGGUACAAAUGAUAAACAAUUGCCUAAGGUUGCCUGGACCCAAAGACCCAGGUGAGUUAAGUUACGGAACUUGUUUAAUUGAGGUCCAAAGUUGGGGUAGGGUGACCCUACCCCACCCAAUUUUAAUUCAUAUAAAAGUCACUACGGCAAAGCUUUUGUCCACACUAGGUACAAAUGAUAGGCAAUUGCCUAAGGUUGCCAGGACCCAAAGACCCAGGUGGGUAAAGUUACGGAACUUUUUUAAUUGAGGUCCAAAGUUGGGGUAGGGUGACCAUACCACCACCAAAUUUUAAUUCAUAAAAAAGUCCCUACGGCAAAGCUUUUGUCCACACUAGGUACAAAUGAUAGGCAAUUGCCUAAGGUUGCCUGGACCCAAAGACCCAGGUGGGUAAAGUUACGGAACUUUUUUAAUUGAGGUCCAAAGUUGGGGUAGGGUGACCCAACCCCCACCCAAUUUUAAUUCAUAAAAUAGUCCCUACGGCAAAGCUUUUGUCCACACUAGGUAUAAAUGAUAGGCAAUUGCCUAAGGUUGCCUGGACCCAAAGACCCAGGCGGGUAAAGUUACGGAACUUUUAUAAUUGAGGUCCAAAGUUGGGAUAUAGUGACCCAACCCCCUCCCUUCUUUAAUUCAUAAAAAAUUUCC
Mytilus californianus (California mussel) is the source of this 648-nucleotide long non-coding RNA. RefSeq lists it as uncharacterized. The transcript is spliced from 4 exons. The record is from RefSeq and is a predicted model, not a curated record. NCBI's taxonomy places the organism in Eukaryota, Metazoa, Mollusca, Bivalvia, Mytilida, Mytilidae.